AUGACGAGUGGCGGACGGGUGAGUAAUGCUUGGGAACUUGCCUUUGCGAGGGGGAUAACAGUUGGAAACGACUGCUAAUACCGCAUAAUGUCUUCGGACCAAACGGGGCUUCGGCUCCGGCGCAAAGAGAGGCCCAAGUGAGAUUAGCUAGUUGGUAAGGUAACGGCUUACCAAGGCGACGAUCUCUAGCUGUUCUGAGAGGAAGAUCAGCCACACUGGGACUGAGACACGGCCCAGACUCCUACGGGAGGCAGCAGUGGGGAAUAUUGCACAAUGGGGGAAACCCUGAUGCAGCCAUGCCGCGUGUGUGAAGAAGGCCUUCGGGUUGUAAAGCACUUUCAGUUGUGAGGAAAAGUUAGUAGUUAAUACCUGCUAGCCGUGACGUUAACAACAGAAGAAGCACCGGCUAACUCCGUGCCAGCAGCGCGGUAAUACGGAGGGUGCGAGCGUUAAUCGGAAUUACUGGGCGUAAAGCGCACGCAGGCGGUUUGUUAAGCUAGAUGUGAAAGCCCCGGGCUCAACCUGGGAUGGUCAUUUAGAACUGGCAGACUAGAGUCUUGGAGAGGGGGAGU
Molecule: ribosomal RNA, 572 nt
Filed under: Alteromonas macleodii
Lineage: Bacteria; Pseudomonadati; Pseudomonadota; Gammaproteobacteria; Alteromonadales; Alteromonadaceae
Description: bacterial SSU rRNA
Rfam family: Bacterial small subunit ribosomal RNA
Source: RNAcentral